Molecule: ribosomal RNA, 253 nt
Filed under: uncultured bacterium
Lineage: Bacteria
Description: partial 16S ribosomal RNA
Rfam family: Bacterial small subunit ribosomal RNA
Source: RNAcentral
UACGAAGGGGGCUAGCGUUGCUCGGAAUCACUGGGCGUAAAGGGUGCGUAGGCGGGUCUUUAAGUCAGGGGUGAAAUCCUGGAGCUCAACUCCAGAACUGCCUUUGAUACUGGCGACCUUGAGUCCGGGAGAGGUGAGUGGAACUGCGAGUGUAGAGGUGAAAUUCGUAGAUAUUCGCAAGAACACCAGUGGCGAAGGCGGCUCACUGGCCCGGUACUGACGCUGAGGUGCGAAAGCGUGGGGAGCGAUCCGG